RNA transcript from Gastrolobium bilobum, 2088 nucleotides. It is a transcript of the gene named protein trichome birefringence-like, with no coding region annotated. The transcript has 8 exons. NCBI's taxonomy places the organism in Eukaryota, Viridiplantae, Streptophyta, Magnoliopsida, Fabales, Fabaceae. The record is from RefSeq and is a predicted model, not a curated record.
AUUCUAAUUUCCUCAUUUCUCUUUUUAUUUACUAGGGUUUGGAUCUGUGUUUAAUUUGCCAAAAUGAUGACCAUGCCUCAUUUUCUCUCUUUCUUUCGCUUCUCUUCUCCGCCAUUUGUAGUUUUUUUUACCAAUCCUAAUUAUGGGCACCGCCAUAGACGCAGCUGUGACGGCAUAGCAGGCGGUGGUGCUAUCGUCGCCGACGAGCUCGAGGUCAGUGACGCAGACGAUAAACGGAUCGCACAAGUUCUACCAAUACAAGGAGAACAAGCUUUCUUGGCGCUGAUGAUCUGCAUUUCAAGGACAUUCUUCUCUUUUCUUUUUGAUUAGUGAUAGAAGAGAUAUGGAGGUUUUGGGAGGCAUAGAAUGGGAAGCAAUCAUUGGGUUCUUCUUUUCCGAGGCCAGCUAAAGGUAUGUUUCUGAUUAAAACCGUGUAUAGAUUCAUUUAUUGUAAAUUGUUGAAAAGUAUUUCUAUUUAAGGAUUAUAUCUCCUAUUUAGGGAUUGUAUAUUCUGUAAUUGAUUCAGAUUUGAUUUGUAUUUUGUUAUAUUAGCGUUGUGGAGCUGAUCAACUAUGACACUGGGUACGAUGAAAUUAGUGUGAAUUAUGAGGAGAUUUAAUUGAUUCUUUCUGGACAUAAGAUGAAUAAGUUCAUGUGAUUGUUAAUUCAUGUGAUUGUUAAUUCUUCAAAUAAAACGAGCAGCCUCGGAUUAACACAGUUGUCUCAGGUAUUUCACAUCAUUUGCUAAUUUUCAAUGUAACUAUCAAAGAAUACAGUGGUUGUUUCUUAAGAGAUCUAGUUACUAAUUUGAUUAUAGUUUUAUUCAGUGUUACUGUGACAGGCUUGAAUCUGCUUAUCCUAUACAUUUUGGCUAAUUUAGAUUUUUCAAUUGAAUGAACCAACUAUUCUACUAGUGGUCUAACUGUGACAUGUAAAUAAUUGUUGAUUGAGUUUACCUUUUGAAACUAUUUUGUUUUUUGGCAUGUCUUGUCAGACAAACAUGAUACAAAUUUGAAAUGAGAAGAAGAAAGAAUUUUAAAUGUUUUGUUUUUUGGCAAUGCCUUUUUCUCAACCGUACAUAACUCAAAAGCUUAUGAUUAGCAGCUUUUGGAGUUGUACAUCUGCUUUUAUGAUCCAUUUUAGUAAAACUGUGUACACUUGUUUCAGGUAACUGUUUGUCUUACUUGUGGCGAUGAGGGCUUUCCGGAGUUGUUGGAUUUUUGUGAAACGUGUCAGGUUUAUACAGUGCAUAGGUUUGAUGGGUUGAAAAUGUUGCACAUGCUAAGAAGUAAGAGGCUGGUGUUCGUAGGGGACUCUUUGAAUAGGAACAUGUGGCAGUCCCUGGUUUGUGCAUUGAGGGCGUCUCUGAAAGAUAAGAGCAAAGUCUAUGAAGUUUUGGGACGGCAUGAAUUCAGGAUUCAAGGUUUUUUCUCUUUCAAAUUCAGAGUUUUGUCUCGAUUUUGCAGGCUCAUGUAGAGUAUGAAAUAGCAAAGAGGCAUUAUGCUCAUUUUGAUUGCCCAGGACAUGCAGACUAUGUUAAGUUUGCUGCAAAACAUGGAAAGUAGGCCCGAUCCACUGCUUCCUGUAAUAUGUGGACCUGUAAACAUGUUAGUAUGUUACGGGAUAGAUGGUUUGAAGGGCCUCAGGAUUCACACGCUUGUAGAUGUUGGAUACUUUGAUUUGAAGCACGCAAACUAAGUUGUCGAGCGUUACAAUAGCAUGCCACACUUAAUGCAUAGAAGUGAUUCUGGAACGCGGAGAGAUGUUGGAUGGCAUUUUAUACCAUUUACAAUAAUUCUUUAAUGGAUCCCUUAUUUAUUACAUACAAGAUGUUGCUUUGAAUGCAGUGUUUGUAAAAUCACAUUUAUUUACUGCAUCCAAUUGAGAAUUAUGGUUAUUUUGUGCUUAUACAUUCAGAAGCUAACUGAGAAUGCCCUUGAUGAUAAGCAAAUUUGUCAAUAUGAACUUUGUAAUCCCUUCCUUAAGCUGUAGUGGGUUAUAUAUCAAACCUAGUCAUUUUUGGAUUUUUGCCUUAAAGUUCCUUUAGUCUUGUACACAUACUAUACGGUGACUUACCUCCCUGCCACU